GAUGAACGCUAGCGGCAGGCUUAAUACAUGCAAGUCGUGGGGCAGCAUGUCCCGCAGCAAUGCGGGAUGAUGGCGACCGGCAAACGGGUGCGGAACACGUACGCAACCUUCCUUUAAGUGGGGGAUAGCCCGGGGAAACCCGGAUUAAUACCCCGUAAUAUUAUAGAGUGGCAUCACUUUAUAAUUAUAGCUCCGGCGCUUAAAGAUGGGCGUGCGUCUGAUUAGGUAGUUGGCGGAGUAAUAGCCCACCAAGCCUACGAUCAGUAACUG
Molecule: ribosomal RNA, 270 nt
Filed under: uncultured bacterium
Lineage: Bacteria
Description: partial 16S ribosomal RNA
Rfam family: Bacterial small subunit ribosomal RNA
Source: RNAcentral